UGCGUAGGUGGUUUGAUAAGUUAGGUGUGAAAGCCCUGGGCUUAACCUGGGAACUGCGCCUAAUACUGUUGAACUUGAGUACUGUAGAGGAAGGUGGAAUUUCCGGUGUAGCGGUGAAAUGCGUAGAUAUCGGAAGGAACAUCAGUGGCGAAGGCGACUUUCUGGACAGAUACUGACACUGAGGCACGAAAGCAUGGGGAGGCAAACA
Molecule: ribosomal RNA, 208 nt
Filed under: uncultured bacterium
Lineage: Bacteria
Description: partial 16S ribosomal RNA
Rfam family: Bacterial small subunit ribosomal RNA
Source: RNAcentral